GGGUAGCUCAGUCAGUAGAGCAUGAGACUCUUAAUCUCAGGGCCGUGGGUUCGAGUCUACAUUAGGCA
Molecule: non-coding RNA, 68 nt
Organism: Podarcis lilfordi (Lilford's wall lizard)
Lineage: Eukaryota; Metazoa; Chordata; Lepidosauria; Squamata; Lacertidae
Source: the annotation of a GenBank genome assembly